RNAcentral lists this ribosomal RNA (1411 nucleotides) under Lactiplantibacillus plantarum. RNAcentral describes it as "bacterial SSU rRNA". It matches the Rfam family "Bacterial small subunit ribosomal RNA". Lineage: Bacteria; Bacillati; Bacillota; Bacilli; Lactobacillales; Lactobacillaceae. The record is from RNAcentral.
ACUCUGGUAUUGAUUGGUGCUUGCAUCAUGAUUUACAUUUGAGUGAGUGGCGAACUGGUGAGUAACACGUGGGAAACCUGCCCAGAAGCGGGGGAUAACACCUGGAAACAGAUGCUAAUACCGCAUAACAACUUGGACCGCAUGGUCCGAGCUUGAAAGAUGGCUUCGGCUAUCACUUUUGGAUGGUCCCGCGGCGUAUUAGCUAGAUGGUGGGGUAACGGCUCACCAUGGCAAUGAUACGUAGCCGACCUGAGAGGGUAAUCGGCCACAUUGGGACUGAGACACGGCCCAAACUCCUACGGGAGGCAGCAGUAGGGAAUCUUCCACAAUGGACGAAAGUCUGAUGGAGCAACGCCGCGUGAGUGAAGAAGGGUUUCGGCUCGUAAAACUCUGUUGUUAAAGAAGAACAUAUCUGAGAGUAACUGUUCAGGUAUUGACGGUAUUUAACCAGAAAGCCACGGCUAACUACGUGCCAGCAGCCGCGGUAAUACGUAGGUGGCAAGCGUUGUCCGGAUUUAUUGGGCGUAAAGCGAGCGCAGGCGGUUUUUUAAGUCUGAUGUGAAAGCCUUCGGCUCAACCGAAGAAGUGCAUCGGAAACUGGGAAACUUGAGUGCAGAAGAGGACAGUGGAACUCCAUGUGUAGCGGUGAAAUGCGUAGAUAUAUGGAAGAACACCAGUGGCGAAGGCGGCUGUCUGGUCUGUAACUGACGCUGAGGCUCGAAAGUAUGGGUAGCAAACAGGAUUAGAUACCCUGGUAGUCCAUACCGUAAACGAUGAAUGCUAAGUGUUGGAGGGUUUCCGCCCUUCAGUGCUGCAGCUAACGCAUUAAGCAUUCCGCCUGGGGAGUACGGCCGCAAGGCUGAAACUCAAAGGAAUUGACGGGGGCCCGCACAAGCGGUGGAGCAUGUGGUUUAAUUCGAAGCUACGCGAAGAACCUUACCAGGUCUUGACAUACUAUGCAAAUCUAAGAGAUUAGACGUUCCCUUCGGGGACAUGGAUACAGGUGGUGCAUGGUUGUCGUCAGCUCGUGUCGUGAGAUGUUGGGUUAAGUCCCGCAACGAGCGCAACCCUUAUUAUCAGUUGCCAGCAUUAAGUUGGGCACUCUGGUGAGACUGCCGGUGACAAACCGGAGGAAGGUGGGGAUGACGUCAAAUCAUCAUGCCCCUUAUGACCUGGGCUACACACGUGCUACAAUGGAUGGUACAACGAGUUGCGAACUCGCGAGAGUAAGCUAAUCUCUUAAAGCCAUUCUCAGUUCGGAUUGUAGGCUGCAACUCGCCUACAUGAAGUCGGAAUCGCUAGUAAUCGCGGAUCAGCAUGCCGCGGUGAAUACGUUCCCGGGCCUUGUACACACCGCCCGUCACACCAUGAGAGUUUGUAACACCCAAAGUCGGUGGGGUAACCUUUAGAA